AUACUCACUUGGCAGGAGAGAGACCAUGAUUGUGAAGGUGGUUUUCCUAAGGUCAGGUUGAUCCAUUGCUCUAAAGAUGUACCCACACCUACAACUUCCCCAGAUACUUGAACAUUGUGUAAUUAUAUUGAUCAAGCUUGAU
Small nuclear RNA from Vombatus ursinus (common wombat), 142 nucleotides. Its record names the gene U1. It matches the Rfam family "U1 spliceosomal RNA". Rfam says of the family: U1 is a small nuclear RNA (snRNA) component of the spliceosome (involved in pre-mRNA splicing). Its 5' end forms complementary base pairs with the 5' splice junction, thus defining the 5' donor site of an intron. NCBI's taxonomy places the organism in Eukaryota, Metazoa, Chordata, Mammalia, Diprotodontia, Vombatidae. The record is from Ensembl.